This 21-nucleotide non-coding RNA is filed under the name Arabidopsis thaliana (thale cress). Lineage: Eukaryota; Viridiplantae; Streptophyta; Magnoliopsida; Brassicales; Brassicaceae. The record is from RNAcentral.
GAUGUUCUGGGCCGCACGCGC